Molecule: long non-coding RNA, 1423 nt
Organism: Choloepus didactylus (southern two-toed sloth)
Lineage: Eukaryota; Metazoa; Chordata; Mammalia; Pilosa; Megalonychidae
Exons: 3
Source: RefSeq, a predicted model, not a curated record
GGAUCACCGGCCCGCACCCCCUUCGCGUGCCUCCCACAUCCGCCUCCCCGAGGGGGCGGGCCUUGGAGUCCCGCCGCGGGGGUCCCGUGGGAUCCCGGGCCAGAACCGUGGGGCCAGAGCCGAGACGGGACACGCCGUCUGGCAACCGAGCUCCUCUGGGAUCUCUCCUGGAUGGGUUUGUCUACCCCUUGGCCGCCACCAAUCCUUCAGGAUGACUCAUAUCGGGAUGGAACCUCUUGAGGAAGGAAUGACACGUCGGGGCAGGAGAGUCUUGUGAUCAGACGGUGCCCAUGUGAUGCUGCAGGGGUGGGCUAGCCUGGAGGCCAUGCUCUGUUGAGAAGCUGCUCCACCACCACUGCCUCCUCCAGCAACCUCUGGUUUGCGCCUCUCUACCUGCUUCCCAGAUCCUCUCCCUCUUAUCCACCAAACCCCAGCCUUGCCCCUGGAGGUAGAGGAAAGCUAGUGGAAAGAGCCCAAGCUUGGAGUCCCAAAACCUGUUUGGGAGCCUUGAUUUCCAUACCAGUACGAAGGGGUUGAUAUUUCCUUCUCUAAACACAUUCUCAGACUUACAGCAAAAUAUGCGUGGAAGCCCUUUACCGGCUGUUUCGAGGAGGGAGGCAAAGCUGUGGGGCAGGAGUAAGAGCCCUGAGCCAGGAAUCAGGAGCCCUGGGGCUGGGCCAUGAGACCUGGGCCUCUAUUUCCUUACCCGGUCAAAGAUGAGUAAUAAAUAUUGCCCGUUCUGCUAACAGCUACCUGAGUCGUUAUUAUAAAGAUUAAUGUCUGACUGCUGGAGAGGCCUUUGAAGAAUGAGGCAAUCAUUUUGAGAAAAGUAUAGAAAUCCCAAAUAAGCCCUGGGUAAAAUAAAUAAAAUUUUGCAGACAAGUUGAUAAUGAGAAGCUACGGUAACCACCCCCUGCCCCUCUUGGUGGGGCAGCCCCCUCUCAAGGUUUUUACUAUUUGUUUCUCUGGCAUUUACUUCAGUUAUGAUACGUUUACACUGCUGUCUCUAGAUUUUAAAGUUUCAGGAAUUAUUCAAAAGCCUCAGGCUUUAUGUCAGGUAGAUACUCCCUCCCCUCUUUCCCUCUGAAUUAUCAAUCAUCAUAGUAUUAUUUUGUAACUUUAAAUAAUACACGUGAACCUUUAGUUCCGGUUCUAUCAGUAUUAGACAGUAUCUCUUAAAUCUUCACUAAUUAAAGAAGUUGUACCCCCUCCCUUCCCUAGAGCUGCGAUUCUGAUGCGAUAAAGGCAGCCAUGUUGAAUAACUGAGGUAGUGAACGAUCUUGUUACUGGGGAUGUUCAGUGGACACUCCUGAUGCCAGAGAUACCUUGAGGACCCUGCUGAGCAUGUUGCAUUGGACAGAAGUUCCUGGAGGCAUAAAGACUUUCGCUCAAUCUUUGUUUCUAGUGUAUUAGAACAGCCAGA